Molecule: non-coding RNA, 123 nt
Organism: Gossypium hirsutum (cotton)
Lineage: Eukaryota; Viridiplantae; Streptophyta; Magnoliopsida; Malvales; Malvaceae
Source: Rfam
AAUAGGAGAAUGAUAAAUCAAAUUUUUCCUCCUAAUUUUUAACUUUUUCCUCCUGACAAAAUUUAAAUCCAAUUAAAAAUGCUAAAAAUUAAAAGAAAAAUUCUGAUUUUACAUUCUCUUAUU